UUUUUUUUUUUUGAGACCGAGUCUCGCUCUGUCGCCCAGGCUGGAUACAGUGUCUUAUGAUUAUUAAAACCUUUUCUGCAAGCUGGUCUGCUUUGUGUGUUAAACAUGCAAAGUGUUUACACUUACCAACUGAUUCCUUUUCCAUUCGUUUUCUUAGUCACUAAUGCUUUCCAAUGGUCAUGAGUGCUUUUAAUAAUAUCAAUGGCAAAGUCCUAUAAUUUGAAGAGGUUUGCAUUACAAUGAUAAAAAGGUAUUAUUUUCCUAUUAUCAACAUUUCCCCAAAGCCUGAUACUUUGUCUCUUCUGAAUCAUUUCCUUAUUCUAAAAAUGGAAGAGAAUAUUAAAGUGAAUAAAUAAACACCAAGACUGUGUUAUGUUUCCAGACUUCUGUUUUGUGAAUCUUUAGAUGGUAACAAUAUGGUUAAAUUAUGAGUCUCAAUACAAAUGAGCCUAAAGCUACAGUUCUGAAUGACAUAUUACCUUAUCUUUAAAUUCUGC
Molecule: long non-coding RNA, 497 nt
Filed under: Homo sapiens (human)
Lineage: Eukaryota; Metazoa; Chordata; Mammalia; Primates; Hominidae
Description: HSALNT0164028
Source: RNAcentral